GAUGAACGCUAGCUACAGGCUUAACACAUGCAAGUCGAGGGGAAACGAUGAGAGAGCUUGCUCUCUUAGUCGUCGACCGGCGCACGGGUGAGUAACGCGUAUCCAACCUGCCUCUGACCAAGGGAUAACCCGUCGAAAGUCGGACUAAUACCUUAUGCAGUCGUCGGAAGUCAUCUGAUGACGACGAAAGAUUUCAUCGGUGAGAGAUGGGGAUGCGUCUGAUUAGCUUGUUGGCGGGGUAACGGCCCACCAAGGCGACGAUCAGUAGGGGUUCUGAGAGGAAGGUCCCCCACAUUGGAACUGAGACACGGUCCACAAUCCUACGGGAGGCAGCAGUGAGGAAGAUUGGUCAAUGGGCGUAAGCCUGAACCAGCCAAGUAGCGUGCAGGAUGACGGCCCUAUGGGUUGUAAACUGCUUUUAUGCGGGGAUAAAGUGAGGGACGUGUCCUUCAUUGCAGGUACCGCAUGAAUAAGGACCGGCUAAUUCCGUG
Molecule: ribosomal RNA, 491 nt
Filed under: uncultured bacterium
Lineage: Bacteria
Description: partial 16S ribosomal RNA
Rfam family: Bacterial small subunit ribosomal RNA
Source: RNAcentral